RNAcentral lists this ribosomal RNA (450 nucleotides) under uncultured archaeon. RNAcentral's name for it is "bacterial SSU rRNA". It matches the Rfam family "Archaeal small subunit ribosomal RNA", at positions 44 to 472 of the family's 1478-position model. The record is from RNAcentral.
CUAAGCCACGCGAGAUCUGCCAAUCUAAGCACGCUGAUUGGCGGCGAACGGCUCAGUAACACGUAGUCAACCUGCCCUCGGGUCGAGAACAAUCUCGGGAAACUGAGGCUAAUUCUCGAUAGGUCAAGAUUCCUGGAAUGGGUUUUGGCCCAAAUGGCGUAACAGCAUCUUGUUAUUUUCGCCCGAGGAUGGGACUGCGGCCGAUCAGGCUGUUGGUGAGGUAAAGGCUCACCAAACCAGUAACCGGUACGGGCUUUGAGAGAAGGAGCCCGGAUAUGGACACUGAGACAAGGGUCCAGGUCCUACGGGGCGCAGCAGGCGCGAAACCUUCGCAAUGCGCGCAAGCGCGACGAGGUUAUUCCGAGUGAUUUCCGCUGAGGAAAUCUUUUCUCAGAUCUAAAACGUCUGGGGAAUAAGGGGAGGGCAAGUCUGGUGUCAGCCGCCGCGUAA